AGUAGAAUGGCUGAGAAUUAGGUGAUAGAUUGUAAAUCUAUAAAGGAGUUUUAACUCUUCUACUA
Molecule: transfer RNA, 65 nt
Filed under: Blattella vaga (field cockroach)
Lineage: Eukaryota; Metazoa; Arthropoda; Insecta; Blattodea; Blattellidae
Description: tRNA-Tyr
Rfam family: tRNA
About the family: Transfer RNA (tRNA) molecules are approximately 80 nucleotides in length.
Source: RNAcentral